ACACUAUCACUCCUACGGGAGGCAGCAGUGAGGAAUAUUGGUCAAUGGAGGGAACUCUGAACCAGCCAUCCCGCGUGUAGGAAGACGGCCUUAUGGGUUGUAAACUACUUUUAUACAGGAAGAAACGUACCCUCGUGAGGGUUCCUGACGGUACUGUAGGAAUAAGCACCGGCUAACUCCGUGCCAGCAGCCGCGGUAAUACGGAGGGUGCGAGCGUUAUCCGGAUUUAUUGGGGUUUAAAGGGUCCGUAGGCGGGCGAUUAAGUCAGAGGUGAAAGCUUUCAGCUUAACUGAGAAAUUACCUUUGAUACUGAUUGUCUUGAAAUAUGUUGAGGUUAGCAGAAUGUGGCAUGUAGCGGUGAAAUGCAUAGAUAUGCCAUAGAAUACCAAUUGCGAAGGCAGCUAACUGGGCAUUAUUUGACGCUGAGGCACGAAAGCGUGGGAAGCGAACAGGAUUAGAUACCCUGGUAG
Molecule: ribosomal RNA, 470 nt
Filed under: uncultured bacterium
Lineage: Bacteria
Description: bacterial SSU rRNA
Rfam family: Bacterial small subunit ribosomal RNA
Source: RNAcentral